Molecule: transfer RNA, 66 nt
Filed under: Stethoconus japonicus
Lineage: Eukaryota; Metazoa; Arthropoda; Insecta; Hemiptera; Miridae
Description: tRNA-Arg
Source: RNAcentral
AAGUAGUGAAAUAAUAAUUUUAUAUUUAGUUUCGACCUAAAAAUAAGAGUAAAUACUCCUUACUUU